AACUAAUAACGUCCAAAUUGUCAACAUGAUACUUCUUUGUAGAGUAAAAUUUAAGAAUGCUCAGAAGAAUAUUUCCAUGAAAAGAUAUUAGAUGAAGCGUAAAUAUCAAGGAUAUUCCACUAAUUUCAUGGAGUAUAGAAAUCAAAACUUUAACCAACUGAAUAUAAUAAAGAAUGGAAUAACAAAAGAAAUCACCAUGCAUGCGGUACUUCGCAUAGACAGGUUAUUCCAACAGAAUAAUAAAUAACGGAAC
This 253-nucleotide long non-coding RNA is filed under the name Panax ginseng (ginseng). RNAcentral describes it as "long non-coding RNA (PGIN_LNC009047)". The record is from RNAcentral. Lineage: Eukaryota; Viridiplantae; Streptophyta; Magnoliopsida; Apiales; Araliaceae.